RNAcentral lists this ribosomal RNA (403 nucleotides) under uncultured bacterium. Its description in RNAcentral is "partial 16S ribosomal RNA". It matches the Rfam family "Bacterial small subunit ribosomal RNA", at positions 29 to 526 of the family's 1533-position model. The record is from RNAcentral.
AUUGAACGCUGGCGGCAGGCCUAACACAUGCAAGUCGAGCGAGCGGCGGACGGGUGAGUAAUGUAUGGGGACUGCCCGAUAGAGGGGGAUAACUACUGGAAACGGUGGCUAAUACCGCAUACUAUCGGAUAACCCAUAUGGGAUUAGGUAGUUGGUGAGGGAAAGGCUCACCAAGCCGACGAUCCCUAGCUGGGCGGAGAGGAUGAGCAGCCACACGGGGACGGUGACACGGCCCAGACUCCUACGGAGGCAGAAGUGGGGAAUAUUGCGCAAGGGGUGCAACCCUGACGCAGCCAUGCCGCGUGAAUGAAGAAGGCCUUCGGGUUGUAAAGUUCUUUCGGUAGCGAGGCGUUAACUACAGAAGAAGCACCGGCUAACUCCGUGCCAGCAGCCGCGGUAAUAC